This 182-nucleotide ribosomal RNA is filed under the name uncultured bacterium. RNAcentral describes it as "partial 16S ribosomal RNA". It matches the Rfam family "Bacterial small subunit ribosomal RNA", at positions 1319 to 1500 of the family's 1533-position model. The record is from RNAcentral.
CAUGAAGCCGGAAUCGCUAGUAAUCGCGGAUCAGAAUGCCGCGGUGAAUACGUUCCCGGGUCUUGUACACACCGCCCGUCACACCAUGGGAGUCGGGAAUGCCCGAAGUCAGUGGCCCAACCGGAAGGGGGGAGCUGCCGAAGGCAGGCCCGGUGACUGGGGUGAAGUCGUAACAAGGUAUC